RNAcentral lists this ribosomal RNA (429 nucleotides) under Bacteroidota bacterium. RNAcentral's name for it is "Bacteroidetes bacterium partial 16S ribosomal RNA". It matches the Rfam family "Bacterial small subunit ribosomal RNA", at positions 355 to 776 of the family's 1533-position model. Lineage: Bacteria; Pseudomonadati; Bacteroidota. The record is from RNAcentral.
UAGGGAAUCUUCCGCAAUGGACGCAAGACUGACGGAGCAACGCCGCGUGAGUGAAGAAGGAUUUCGGUUCGUAAAACUCUGUUGUUAGAGAAGAACAGCGCAUAGAGUAACUGUUAUGCGUGUGACGGUAUCUAACCAGAAAGCCACGGCUAACUACGUGCCAGCAGCCGCGGGAAUACGUAGGUGGCAAGCGUUGUCCGGAUUUAUUGGGCGUAACGCGAGCGCAGGCGGUCAAUUAAGUCUGAUGUGAAAGCCCCCGGCUCAACCGGGGAGGGUCAUUGGAAACUGGUUGACUUGAGUGCAGAAGAGGAGAGUGGACUUCCAUGAGUAGCGGUAAAAUGCGUCGAUAUAUGGAGGAACACCAGUGGCGAAGGCGACUCUCUGGUCUGUAACUGACGCUGAGGCUCGAAAGCGUGGGUAGCAAACAGG